This 200-nucleotide long non-coding RNA is filed under the name Capsicum annuum. Its description in RNAcentral is "long non-coding RNA (CANN_LNC011663)". Lineage: Eukaryota; Viridiplantae; Streptophyta; Magnoliopsida; Solanales; Solanaceae. The record is from RNAcentral.
GUGUGAUGUUGUAAUAUAUGUGAGAUAUAUUAGAACUGUUAGUGCAAACAGUGUGGGCUACCAUUGUGGGACAUUUUCUGAUUGCAACUGACGUGCCCUUACUGUAUAUUUUGUAUGCUUCAUUUACUACUUUGCUUGGUCGGCCUAUGAUACCUAUAGAGUACAAGUGGACCGUACUCAUGCCUACUGCGCCCUUUCGG